UGAUCAUGGCUCAGAUUGAACGCUGGCGGCAGGCUUAACACAUGCAAGUCGAGCGGAGAGAGGUAGCUUGCUACUGAUCUUAGCGGCGGACGGGUGAGUAAUACUUAGGAAUCUGGCUAUUAGUGGGGGACAACAUUUCGAAAGGGAUGCUAAUACCGCAUACGUCCUACGGGAGAAAGCAGGGGAUCUUCGGACCUUGCGCUAAUAGAUGAGCCUAAGUCGGAUUAKCUAGUUGGUGGGGUAAAGGCCUACCAAGGCGACRAUCUGUAGCGGGUCUGAGAGGAUGAUCCGCCACACUGGGACUGAGACACGGCCCAGUCUCCUACGGGAGGCAGCAGUGGGGAAUAUUGGACAAUGGGGGGAACCCUGAUCCANCCAUGCCGCGUGUGUGAAGAAGGCCUUAUGGUUGUAAAGCACUUUAAGCGAGGAGGAGGGUACUGGUAUUAAUACUACCAGGUACUGGACGUUACUCGCAGAAUAAGCACCGGCUAACUCUGUGCCAGCAGCCGCGGUAAUACAGAGGGUGCGAGCGUUAAUCGGAUUUACUGGGCGUAAAGCGUGCGUAGGCGGCUAAUUGAGUCGGAUGUGA
RNAcentral lists this ribosomal RNA (589 nucleotides) under uncultured bacterium. RNAcentral describes it as "bacterial SSU rRNA". It matches the Rfam family "Bacterial small subunit ribosomal RNA", at positions 14 to 597 of the family's 1533-position model. The record is from RNAcentral.